CUUUGUAUAUCUAAGGUUUAAGUGCUGAGUUCUUACCUCAGUGAUGUGUUUUACACUACAGGGU
Molecule: transfer RNA, 64 nt
Filed under: Litobothrium nickoli
Lineage: Eukaryota; Metazoa; Platyhelminthes; Cestoda; Litobothriidea; Litobothriidae
Description: tRNA-Lys
Source: RNAcentral